Molecule: long non-coding RNA, 424 nt
Filed under: Ananas comosus (pineapple)
Lineage: Eukaryota; Viridiplantae; Streptophyta; Magnoliopsida; Poales; Bromeliaceae
Description: long non-coding RNA (ACOM_LNC030074)
Source: RNAcentral
CCAUUGGGGUGCCCGUGAGCCAGCUCAUGUUCAACUCAAAAUAAAUUUGAGAUUGAUCGCUUGUUUAAUAAAUAAGCUAAAAACGAGCUGGGAUCAACUCGCUCGUGUUCUGCUCGAUGUAGACGAAGCACUUGGUGCUACCAAGUUUCUGCCAUUAGAUCUACCAUUUUGAUAAUUUUCACCCGUUAGAUCAUACUAUUGAAUCAACUACCCACUCAAUCCUAGAAGGCCCACAUCAUUCUAACCGCACAUCUCUUAAUCCAAUGGCCAAAAACUUGGUAGCACCAAUGACUUUGUGCUAUUAAUAGUAUAUUAGCCUAGUUCUAUAUAUAUAUAUAUAGUUAGAAUACUAUUAAUAGAUAAGAAUAGUGUUUACUAUCAAAUUUUUGAUUAUUGAAUGUCUAGACUCGAGUUUAGUAGAGGU